GGGGAAUAUUGCACAAUGGAGGAAACUCUGAUGCAGCAACGCCGCGUGGAGGAUGACGCAUUUCGGUGUGUAAACUCCUUUUAUAAGGGAAGAUAAUGACGGUACCUUAUGAAUAAGCACCGGCUAACUCCGUGCCAGCAGCCGCGGUAAUACGGAGGGUGCAAGCGUUACUCGGAAUCACUGGGCGUAAAGGAUGCGUAGGCUGGAGAUCAAGUCGAGAGUGAAAUCCAACGGCUCAACCGUUGAACUGCUCUCGAAACUGGUCACCUAGAAUAUGGGAGAGGUAGAUGGAAUUGGUGGUGUAGGGGUAAAAUCCGUAGAUAUCACCAGGAAUACCGAUUGCGAAGGCGAUCUACUGGAACAUUAUUGACGCUGAGGCAUGAAAGCGUGGGGAGCAAAC
Molecule: ribosomal RNA, 400 nt
Filed under: uncultured bacterium
Lineage: Bacteria
Description: bacterial SSU rRNA
Rfam family: Bacterial small subunit ribosomal RNA
Source: RNAcentral